This 333-nucleotide ribosomal RNA is filed under the name uncultured bacterium. Its description in RNAcentral is "bacterial SSU rRNA". It matches the Rfam family "Bacterial small subunit ribosomal RNA", at positions 29 to 363 of the family's 1533-position model. The record is from RNAcentral.
ACGAACGCUGGCGGCGUGCUUAACACAUGCAAGUCGAGCGAUGAAGUUUCUUCGGAAAUGGAUUAGCGGCGAACGGGUGAGGAACACGUGAAGAAUCUGCCCUCCACUUUGGGAUAACACCGGGAAACCGGUGCUAAUACCGAAUAUUGAAACAUAAGUGGCAUCACUGAGUUUUGAAAGAAUUUCGGUGGAGGAUGACUUCGCGGCCUAUCAGCUAGUUGGUGAGGUAAUGGCUCACCAAGGCAACGACGGGUAGCCGGCCUGAGAGGGUGACCGGCCACACUGGGACUGAGACACGGCCCAGACUCCUACGGGAGGCAGCAGUGGGGAAUC